AUUGAACGCUGGCGGCAUGCCUUACACAUGCAAGUCGAACGGCAGCAUGGAAGAGCUUGCUCUUCUGAUGGCGAGUGGCGAACGGGUGAGUAAAGCAUCGGAACGUACCGUGUAGUGGGGGAUAACGUAGCGAAAGUUACGCUAAUACCGCAUACGCACUGAAGUGGAAAGCAGGGGAUCGCAAGACCUUGCGCUAUACGAGCGUCCGAUGUAAGAAGAGCUAGUUGGUAGGGUAAAGGCCUACCAAGGCGACGAGCUGUAGCGGGUCUGAGAGGAUGAUCCGCCACACUGGGACUGAGACACGGCCCAGACUCCUACGGGAGGCAGCAGUGGGGAAUUUUGGACAAUGGGGGAAACCCUGAUCCAGCCAUGCCGCGUGAGUGAAGAAGGCCUUCGGGUUGUAAAGCUCUUUCGGCUGGGAAGAAAUCGCACAGGCUAAUACUCUGUGUGGAUGACGGUACCAGCACAAGAAGCACCGGCUAACUACGUGCCAGCCGCCGCGGUAA
RNAcentral lists this ribosomal RNA (506 nucleotides) under uncultured bacterium. RNAcentral's name for it is "partial 16S ribosomal RNA". It matches the Rfam family "Bacterial small subunit ribosomal RNA", at positions 30 to 523 of the family's 1533-position model. The record is from RNAcentral.